RNAcentral lists this ribosomal RNA (271 nucleotides) under uncultured bacterium. RNAcentral describes it as "partial 16S ribosomal RNA". It matches the Rfam family "Bacterial small subunit ribosomal RNA", at positions 524 to 794 of the family's 1533-position model. The record is from RNAcentral.
UACAGAGGGUGCAAGCGUUAAUCGGAUUUACUGGGCGUAAAGCGUGUGUAGGUGGUUGUUCAAGUCGGUUGUGAAAUCCCCGGGCUCAACCUGGGAAUUGCUUCCGAGACUGAGCGACUAGAGUACGGUAGAGGGCGGUGGAAUUUCCGGUGUAGCGGUGAAAUGCGUAGAUAUCGGAAGGAACACCAAUGGCGAAGGCAGCCGCCUGGGCCUGUACUGACACUGAGACACGAAAGCGUGGGGAUCAAACAGGAUUAGAUACCCUGGUAGU